Molecule: ribosomal RNA, 801 nt
Filed under: Triticum aestivum (bread wheat)
Lineage: Eukaryota; Viridiplantae; Streptophyta; Magnoliopsida; Poales; Poaceae
Description: partial small subunit ribosomal RNA
Source: RNAcentral
AUGGAGUUCCUCAAGAUGCUAUCAAGUGCAUGCUGUUCUCAUUCUCUCUCCGGGAUGAUGCUCGUGCUUGGUAUCGAUCCUUGCCAUCAAGAUCAUUCAGUUGGAACGAGAUAUCACAAGCUUUCUUGGAUAAAUAUUUCCCACUACACAAGCAGUCCGCAAUUCGAGAUGAGAUCCUCAGCUUCGUUCAGUGUGAAGGCGAGAGCUUGUAUGAUGCUUGGGAGAGAGCUGCAGUUAGUUGUUUUUGAUAUUGAGGAGUCACCUUUAGUUGAUAUUGAUCAUGUGCUGCUAGAGCCAGAUAUGGAGAAGUUCACCUUCGAUGAUGUUAGCCGCAUUACUUCCUCAACACUUGAGCCUGAGACGGAGAGCUUCAUGGUUGAGUAUGGUGAGGUGGAUUCAAAUGUCAAGGAGCCAAGCUCUACUAUUUCACUUGUUGAUACGAGUCCGGUUGAAAUUUCUACUACCACACCUCACUUGGUAUCUUCAAUUGAGGUAGUCCUGAAGCUUCUUCCUAACUAUCUCAGGUAUGAUCUUAGCUUUCUGGACAAGACAUGUCAUAUCGCUGAUAUUGCCUAUGCCCCAUGUGACUUGUUGUUGAUACAUGUUCCUGAUUUCAUCAAUAGAUAUACUUAUAUGAUAGGGUACUCUAUCGAUGACUUAGAAGGCAUUCUCUCUGUCACUUGUAUUGGCUUGGUUGUUGAGUGUGCUUUCAGGUUUUUGCUUGUGCACGAUCCAUUACAUGCUGACCAGGUUCGAGGUGACAUUCCUUGGUACCCUGGUGGACUCAGAGCAUGGGGAUGA